This 497-nucleotide ribosomal RNA is filed under the name uncultured bacterium. RNAcentral's name for it is "partial 16S ribosomal RNA". It matches the Rfam family "Bacterial small subunit ribosomal RNA", at positions 28 to 507 of the family's 1533-position model. The record is from RNAcentral.
GAUGAACGCUGGCGGCGUGCCUAAUACAUGCAAGUCGAGCGAACAGAUGAGGAGCUUGCUCCUCUGACGUUAGCGGCGGACGGGUGAGUAACACGUGGAUAACCUACCUAUAAGACUGGGAUAACUUCGGGAAACCGGAGCCAAUACCGGAUAAUAUAUUGAACCGCAUGGUUCAAUAGUGAAAGACGGUUUUGCUGUCACUUAUAGAUGGAUCCGCGCCGCAUUAGCUAGUUGGUAAGGUAACGGCUUACCAAGGCAACGAUGCGUAGCCGACCUGAGAGGGUGAUCGGCCACACUGGAACUGAGACACGGUCCAGACUCCUACGGGAGGCAGCAGUAGGGAAUCUUCCGCAAUGGGCGAAAGCCUGACGGAGCAACGCCGCGUGAGUGAUGAAGGUCUUCGGAUCGUAAAACUCUGUUAUUAGGGAAGAACAAAUGUGUAAGUAACUAUGCACGUCUUGACGGUACCUAAUCAGAAAGCCACGGCUAACUACGUG